This 445-nucleotide ribosomal RNA is filed under the name uncultured bacterium. RNAcentral's name for it is "bacterial SSU rRNA". It matches the Rfam family "Bacterial small subunit ribosomal RNA", at positions 354 to 796 of the family's 1533-position model. The record is from RNAcentral.
GUAAGGAAUAUUGGACAAUGGACGCAAGUCUGAUCCAGCCAUGCCGCGUGAAGGAUUAAGGUCCUCUGGAUUGUAAACUUCUUUUAUAAGGGACGAAAAAAGGCUUUUCUAAGUCGUCUGACGGUACCUUAUGAAUAAGCACCGGCUAACUCCGUGCCAGCAGCCGCGGUAAUACGGAGGGUGCAAGCGUUAUCCGGAUUCACUGGGUUUAAAGGGUGCGUAGGCGGGCAGGUAAGUCAGUGGUGAAAUCCUAGAGCUUAACUCUAGAACUGCCAUUGAUACUAUCUGUCUUGAAUAUUGUGGAGGUAAGCGGAAUAUGUCAUGUAGCGGUGAAAUGCUUAGAUAUGACAUAGAACACCUAUUGCGAAGGCAGCUUACUACGCAUAUAUUGACGCUGAGGCACGAAAGCGUGGGGAUCAAAUAGGAUUAGAUACCCGAGUAGUCC